GAGUUUGAUCCUGGCUCAGAACGAACGCUGGCGGCGUGCCUAACACAUGCAAGUCGAACGUGAUCCAGAGCUUGCUCUGGUGAAAGUGGCGCACGGGUGAGCAACGCGUGGAUAACCUACCCUGGUAUCCGGGAUAACAUUCCGAAAGGGGUGCUAAUACCGGAUAAGCCCACGGGCUCUUUGGAGCUUGCGGGAAAAGGUGGCCUCUAUUUAUAAGCUACUGUAUCAGGAUGGGUCCGCGUACCAUUAGCUAGUUGGCGGUGUAACGGACCACCAAGGCGACGAUGGUUAGCUGGUCUGAGAGGAUGAUCAGCCACACUGGAACUGAGACACGGUCCAGACUCCUACGGGAGGCAGCAGUGGGGAAUUUUGCGCAAUGGGGGAAACCCUGACGCAGCAACGCCGCGUGAGUGAUGAAGGCCUUUGGGUCGUAAAGCUCUGUCAGAGGGGAAGAAAUGAUAUAGUGCUAAUACCACUUUAUCUUGACGGUACCCUCAAAGGAAGCACCGGCUAACUCCGUGCCAGCAGCCGCGGUAAUAC
Molecule: ribosomal RNA, 540 nt
Filed under: uncultured Geobacteraceae bacterium
Lineage: Bacteria; Pseudomonadati; Thermodesulfobacteriota; Desulfuromonadia; Geobacterales; Geobacteraceae
Description: bacterial SSU rRNA
Rfam family: Bacterial small subunit ribosomal RNA
Source: RNAcentral